This 70-nucleotide transfer RNA is filed under the name Ictidomys tridecemlineatus (thirteen-lined ground squirrel). RNAcentral's name for it is "Spermophilus tridecemlineatus (thirteen-lined ground squirrel) tRNA". It matches the Rfam family "tRNA". From Rfam's summary of the family: Transfer RNA (tRNA) molecules are approximately 80 nucleotides in length. Their secondary structure includes four short double-helical elements and three loops (D, anti-codon, and T loops). The record is from Rfam by way of RNAcentral. Lineage: Eukaryota; Metazoa; Chordata; Mammalia; Rodentia; Sciuridae.
GGGGAUGUAGCUCAGUGGUAGAGCACUUGCCUAGAAUGUAUGAGGCCGUAGGUUGAGAGCCCCAACACCA